This 513-nucleotide ribosomal RNA is filed under the name uncultured bacterium. Its description in RNAcentral is "partial 16S ribosomal RNA". It matches the Rfam family "Bacterial small subunit ribosomal RNA", at positions 28 to 523 of the family's 1533-position model. The record is from RNAcentral.
GACGAACGCUGGCGGCGUGCCUAAUACAUGCAAGUCGAGCGGACAGAUGGGAGCUUGCUCCCUGAUGUUAGCGGCGGACGGGUGAGUAACACGUGGGUAACCUGCCUGUAAGACUGGGAUAACUCCGGGAAACCGGGGCUAAUACCGGAUGGUUGUUUGAACCGCAUGGUUCAAACAUAAAAGGUGGCUUCGGCUACCACUUACAGAUGGACCCGCGGCGCAUUAGCUAGUUGGUGAUGUAACGGCUCACCAAGGCAACGAUGCGUAGCCGACCUGAGAGGGUGAUCGGCCACACUGGGACUGAGACACGGCCCAGACUCCUACGGGAGGCAGCAGUAGGGAAUCUUCCGCAAUGGACGAAAGUCUGACGGAGCGACGCCGCGUGAGUGAUGAAGGUUUUCGGAUCGUAAAGCUCUGUUGUUAGGGAAGAACAAGUACCGUUCGAAUAGGGCGGUACCUUGACGGUACCUAACCAGAAAGCCACGGCUAACUACGUGCCAGCCGCCGCGGUAA